AGAGUUUGAUCAUGGCUCAGGAUGAACGCUAGCGGUGCGCCUAACACAUGCAAGUCGAGCGUGAUUAUUUGGUAGCUUGCUACUAAAUAUGAAAGCGGCAAACGGGUGAGUAAUAAGUUUGUACCUACCUUUAAGCCAGGGAUAGCCUAGGGAAACCUAGAUUAAUACCGGAUGUGCCCUACGGGGUAAAGAUUUAUCGCUUAGAGAGGGGCAUGCUUCCUAUCAGCUAGUUGGUAAGGUAAUAGCUUACCAAGGCAAUGACGGGUAAUUGGUCUGAGAGGAUGACCAGUCACAAUGGAACUGAGACACGGUCCAUACUCCUACGGGAGACAGCAGUGAGGAAUCUUCCACAAUGGGCGAAAGCCUGAUGGAGCGACACCGCGUGAAGGAUGAAGGCUUUGUUGUUGUAAACUUCUUUUCUCUGGGAAGAUAAUGACGGUACCAGAGGAAUAAGGGACGGCUAACUACGUGCCAGCAGCCGCGGUAAUACGUAGGUCCCAAGCGUUAUCCGGAAUUACUGGGUGUAAAGCGUCUGUAGGCGGGUCUGUAAGUUUUGUAUGAAAGACCGGAGCUCAACUCCGUGUUUGUACAAAAAACUGCAGACCUAGAAUUAGGGAGAGGUAAACGGAAUGGUAAGAGUAGAGGUGCAAUUCGUAGAUACUUACCAGAACACCAAAGGCGAAGGCAGUUUACUGGAACUAUAUUGACGCUGAGAGACGAAAGCGUGGGGAGCGAAAAGGAUUAGAUACCCUUGUAGUCCACGCCCUAAACGAUGAUGGUUAAGUGUCGGGUCUUGUACCCGGUGCUGUAGCAAACGCGUUAAACCAUCCACCUGAGGAGUACGGUCGCAAGACUAAAACUCAAAUGAAUAGACGGGGACCCACACAAGCAGUGGAUCAUGCGGUUUAAUUCGAUAAUAAACGGAGAAUCUUACCCAGGCUUGACAUCUACAGAAUCUUUGAGAAAUCAGAGAGUGCCCGUAAGGGAACUGUAAGACAGGCGCUGCAUGGUUGUCGUCAGCUCGUGCCUUGAGGUGUUCGGUUAAGUCCGUUAACGAGCGCAACCCAUGUCGUUAGUUACUAUGUCUAACGAGACUGCCCGAGUUAAUCGGGAGGAAGGUGUGGAUGACGUCAAAUCAGCAUGGCCCUUAUGCCUGGGGCCACACGCAUGAUACAAUGGUCGGUACAAAGAGUAGCAAGGUGGUAACACUGAGCCAAUCUCAAAAAGCCGAUCUCAGUCCGGAUUGAGGUCUGAAACUCGACCUCAUGAAGUUGGAAUUGCUAGUAAUCGUGAAUCAGACAUGUCACGGUGAAUAUGUUCCUGGGUCUUGUACUCACCGCCCGUCAUAGCAUGGGAGGUGCUUUUAUCGGAAGCUCCUGAAGUAAUAUUGGGAAUCAUGGUAAAGGUACUGACUGGGCUAAAGUCGUAACAAGGUAACCAAGGGCGAA
RNAcentral lists this ribosomal RNA (1448 nucleotides) under uncultured Pseudomonadota bacterium. Its description in RNAcentral is "bacterial SSU rRNA". It matches the Rfam family "Bacterial small subunit ribosomal RNA". The record is from RNAcentral. Lineage: Bacteria; Pseudomonadati; Pseudomonadota.